GAUCCUGGCUCAGGAUGAACGCUAGCUACAGGUUUAACACAUGCAAGUCGAGGGGCAGCAUGAACUUAGCUUGCUAAGUUUGAUGGCGACCGGCGCACGGGUGAGUAACGCGUAUCCAACCUGCCCUUUACUCGGGGAUAGCCCUUUUGAAAGGAAGUUUAAUACCCGAUGAAUUCGUUUAGUCGCAUGGCUUGAUGAAGAAAGAUUUAUCAGUAAAGGGUGGGGAUGCGUCCCAUUAGCUUGUUGGCGGGGUAACCGG
Molecule: ribosomal RNA, 259 nt
Filed under: uncultured bacterium
Lineage: Bacteria
Description: partial 16S ribosomal RNA
Rfam family: Bacterial small subunit ribosomal RNA
Source: RNAcentral